CGAAGAAGGGCUUGUAUACUGUCAAAUCAGCUUACCAUGUUGCUAGAACUGUGUUGAGGGACCAAAGGAAUUUUUCAACUCCUUGUUGUUGGUUGAAAUUGUGGAAAUUAUUAAUUCCACCAAAGUUGAAGAAUUUCAUUUAGAGGGCGUGCAGGGACUUGCUACCAUCAAGACUCAGAUUAAAUCAGAGAGAUUUGCAAGUUGAUCAAACUUGUGUUUUGUGUGGUCAAGAGGAGGAUUCAGUUCAUACUUUGUUAAAAUGUCCUUUGGCAGUUGAUUGCUGGAAACUAAUACGAGUGGAUUCUUCUCGGAUUGUUUACACAGAAUUUGGGAGCUGGUUCUUUAGUCUUUUUC
RNAcentral lists this unclassified non-coding RNA (354 nucleotides) under Hevea brasiliensis (rubber tree). Lineage: Eukaryota; Viridiplantae; Streptophyta; Magnoliopsida; Malpighiales; Euphorbiaceae. The record is from RNAcentral.